AGAGUUUGAUCCUGGCUCAGAACGAACGCUAGCGGCGCGUCUGAUUCAUGCAAGUCGAGCGAGAACGUCCCUUCGGGGGCUAGUACAGCGGCGAACUGCUGAGUAAUGCACAGGCAACCUGCCCGCGAGACCGGGAUAACCCUCCGAAAGGAGGCCUAAUACCGGAUAUUAUGCUGAGGCGCAUGUCUUGGUAUGAAACGGUUGGUGCCCUUCGGGGUCUUCCGCUCGCAGAUGGGCCUGUGUCCUAUUAGCUUGUUGGUGGGGUAGUGGCCUACCAAGGCAUUGAUGGGUAGCCGACCUGAGAGGGUGACCGGCCAGACUGGGACUGAGACACUGCCCAGACUCCUACGGGAGGCAGCAGAGGAGGAUCAUCCGCAAUGGGCGCAAGCCUGACGGUGCGACGCCGCGUGAGGGAAGAAGGCCUUUGAGUCGUAAACCUCUGUCAGGAACUAGGAACGUGAGGUGGGUAAAUAGCCCAUCCUGUUGACCGGUUCCAAAGGAAGGACCUGCUAACUUCGUGCCAGCAGCAGCGGUAAUACGGAGGGUCCCAGCGUUGUUCGGAAUUACUGGGCGUAAAGGGGGUCUAGGCGGACAGGUCAGUCGGGUAUGAAAGCCCUCGGCUCAACCGGGGAACGGUGCCCGAUACUGCCUGUCUUGAGUGCAGCAGAGGAGAGUGGAACUCCUGGUGGAGCGGUGAUAUGCGUAGAUAUCAGGAGGAACGCCGGAGGCGAAAGCGACUCUCUGGGCUGCUACUGACGCUGAAGCCCGAAAGCCAGGGGAGCGAACGGGAUUAGAUACCCCGGUAGUCCUGGCCGUAAACGAUGGGCACUAGGUAUGGGGAGUUCCUACACUCUUCUUGCCGUAGCUAACGCGUUAAGUGCCCCGCCUGGGGAGUACGGUCGCAAGACUAAAACUCAAAGGAAUUGACGGGGGCUCGCACAAGCGGUGGAGCAUGUGGCUCAAUUCGAGGCAACGCGAAGAACCUUAUCCUGGGCUUGACAUGCUGGUGGUACGGACCUGAAAGGGCGAGGACCUCUUUACGGAGGAGCCAGCACAGGUGCUGCAUGGCUGUCGUCAGCUCGUGUCGUGAGAUGUCGGGUUAAGUCCCUCAACGAGCGAAACCCUUGUCGUUAGUUGCCAGCGGGUAAUGCCGGGGACUCUAACGAGACUGCCGGUGUCAAACCGGAGGAAGGUGGGGAUGACGUCAAGUCCUCAUGGCCCUUAUGCCCAGGGCUGCACACGUGCUACAAUGGCCGGUACAGAGGGAAGCAAGACCGCGAGGUGGAGCGAAUCCCUAAAAGCCGGUCUCAGUUCGGAUUGGAGGCUGCAACUCGCCUCCAUGAAGUUGGAAUCGCUAGUAAUCGCGGAUCAGCUACGCCGCGGUGAAUACGUUCCCGAGCCUUGUACACACCGCCCGUCAAGUCAUGAGAGCUGGGGGUGCCCGAAGUCGUCUAUCUAACCUUCGGGAGGAAGAUGCCUAAGGCAAACCCGGUGAUUGGGACUAAGUCGUAACAAGGUA
Molecule: ribosomal RNA, 1519 nt
Filed under: metagenome
Description: bacterial SSU rRNA
Rfam family: Bacterial small subunit ribosomal RNA
Source: RNAcentral